This is a long non-coding RNA of Chiroxiphia lanceolata (lance-tailed manakin), 698 nucleotides long. RefSeq lists it as uncharacterized. NCBI's taxonomy places the organism in Eukaryota, Metazoa, Chordata, Aves, Passeriformes, Pipridae. The record is from RefSeq and is a predicted model, not a curated record. The transcript is spliced from 4 exons.
AAACAAGCACAAACAUGAAAACUAUGCACUCUGUGGAUAGAAGGAAGACCAGCUUCCCUAUGCCACACUAAAAUUUGCUAAAAUGAAAUAAAACUAGACAGAAAGAAAAGGGUAAGUUUGUUUUCCCCAACAACAGUAGUUGGCAAGCCAUCUCCUGUCUUAACUCCUGAGCUUUCCUACCGUGUUUUGACCACCACCACAUAGGACAAGGUGGGGGAGUGAGUGGCUGGCUGUUAGCCAAGGCUGAGCCCCCACACCUCCCAGCACUGAUACAGAAACAUCCCAAAAGGUGAACAGCUGAGUAGAGAUGGUGCUUCUUCACGACCUGGUCAGUCACAAAUGUCCCUUCAGAAAAGGCCUGAGCCAUUUAUCUCUGUGACUCAGCCACCCUUUUGGCAAGGCAGUGUGUUUUGCUGAAUCAGCAGACAGGUGAACAAAGGAAAAGCAGAAAAGCAGUUUGGUUCUGGUUGGCACCCUGAGAGGUGCAGAAAUGGGCCAGGCAACCAGCAGUGCCAGCAAUGGGGAAGGGAUGGGCAAGAGCAAGGCUUGUGCCUCUUCAGGCACAGUGAAUUUUUAGACUUCCUCAGCUCCAAAUCCAUCUGCAGUGUCAGGUGCCUUGCCCCAAAAGAUACUUAAAACAACAGCUUAAAGAGGAAACUACAUCUGCAGGCCAAACAAAUGAGCCUUGGUUUCUCAUA